Lynx canadensis (Canada lynx) is the source of this 1665-nucleotide long non-coding RNA. RefSeq lists it as uncharacterized. NCBI's taxonomy places the organism in Eukaryota, Metazoa, Chordata, Mammalia, Carnivora, Felidae. The record is from RefSeq and is a predicted model, not a curated record. The transcript is spliced from 2 exons.
UCCAGGACUCCUCCGCCCAUGGUCACCCUCCGCAUUAAAGAUAAGGAGGAAGAGGUGAAAGAUUAUUUACCAUCAGCUGGCCCCCCGGAGGUAAAGAAAAGGUGGAUUCUAGGAGGCUCACAUCCCUUUUCCAGGGCACCCACUGCGGAUGGGCCCACGGACCUGCCUACCCUGCGGGAGAAGUGAGACAGGUUCAGUGCACAAGGACACCCCCAAGAGGGGGGGGGGCUCUCACCAAUCUAGGGGUGUUUGUGGGUUGCCACCGUGACCGGAGAGGGGGAUGCGGUCCCAGAUGGCGACAUCCAGCGACUCAUGGGGUGGUCCCACACAAUACAGAAUUGUCCCACGUCCUGCCUCACUUGGGAACCUCCUGCUGGAGGGGCGCCUGGGUGGCUUGGUCGGUUAAGCGGCUGACUCUUGAUCUCAGCUCAGGUCAUGAUCUCACGUUUCGUGAGUUCGAGCCCGGGCAUCGGUGCAGAGCCCCGACAGCACAGGACCUUGCUUGGGAUUCUCUCUCUCCCUCUCUCUCUCUCUCUCUCUGCCCCUCCCCCACUGGUGCGCAUGAGCUCGCUCUCUCUCUCUCAGGUGAAAAAUCUUCUAAUCGUCGGAGUCUAGAACUCGACUCUGUUAUAUAUAUACAAAGUAUUUUCCUGUAUGGUUUAAUCUGUGCUGAAUACGCUUAUUUUUAAUCUUAAUUUUAGCUACCCACUCCUCUGCUCAACUCCUUGCAUGGCUUGUUUCCUGAUCUUUUUCUUCCUCUUGAGCCCAAACUUGUUCAGGAUAAGUAGGUGCCAGCAGCUGGCUCCCACAUCACGACUUUUAAAGUGGCCGUGCCGAAGCGCUUACAUGUGGAAACGCGCAUUGUUCUAUUAGAGAUUCCUUUGGCCAACGGCACAGGCAAGUUUAGUGAUGGGAGGGAUAGCUCGCAUUUACUCUGUGCUAGGCCUGCUGUCCCGAGCUCUUCCACGUGUGGUUUAUUCGAUCCCCACACAGCCCUCUGACGUCAGUACUAUGACGACACCCGGGUGACCGGUGGGGAAACUGAGGCACAAAGCAGGUGAGGAACUCGCCCAAGGGACAGCUGGGAAGCCGCAGAAGUGGGGUUUGACUCGAGCGUGUCUGGCUCUGGGCUCCACGCACCAAACCGCGAGACUCUCGAAGACCUCUCUCUUAUUACGUAAGUGUUUCACAUCAGCAGAGUAAAGGGAUAUUCCUAUCCCUCCUCCGGCUGGCUCACGGUGUCUCAAAUCCUUGUCCUGGUUCUGCUCUAGAUCCUCAUCAGAGACCACUUUGAAAACCCGAGUCAGGACGCCAUCCUCUUGACUCGUGCUUGAGAACUGUGUGAUGGCUCCUUCUGUACUUUUCACCCUGGCAGCCAGGAAACUCACCAUCACAGCCGUGAGUCGACUGCAGCCAACUGUCUCUCUCCCUCUCUCAUCCCUGUCUUCUGGUGCUACUGUCUCUCCCUCGGCUCUCUGAGGUUGCUGGUCCCUCGGUUCUGUUUCUAUAACACCUGCAAGGAAUUUUUAUGCUUCUAACACUCAGCUCCUUCCUGGACAUGCCCCUAUAAUUGGCAAAACCUGACAGAUCUGCAUGACUAGACUGUGCACAUGUGUGAAGGAAUUCUGGGUAGCCUCAAAUAAAUUAUGCAUGUGUGUGAACGAA